Long non-coding RNA from Peromyscus leucopus (white-footed mouse), 702 nucleotides. RefSeq lists it as uncharacterized. The transcript is spliced from 2 exons. The record is from RefSeq and is a predicted model, not a curated record. Lineage: Eukaryota; Metazoa; Chordata; Mammalia; Rodentia; Cricetidae.
UGCAUUCUAUCACCGGAAAAAUGGAAUAAGGUGCUGACAUACGGACAAACCUGGCGGGCGCUAAAAACAUGAUGCUGAGGGACAAGGAAGCCAGACGGAAGGUCGCACAUUAUGGGAUUCUGUUUACAGAAAAUGUCCAGAAUAGGUGACUAUGGGAACAAAAAGCCCAUUCACUGUUGCCAAGGGGCUGGAGGAGGGUGGGGACUGCCAAAUGGGUAUGGGGCUCCCCUUUUGGGGAGUAGUGUCCUGACCAGGAAAGAGGGUAGAUGCAUGCCACUGUGAAUGCACUAAAUGCCACCAAGUUGUACAGUUCAAAGAGAAGGUGCCAAGGGACUCCACACCAUCCAGCUUGGCGGAUCGUGCAUGACUCAGGUGCACCGGUGAGAAGUCCUCCCGGCAACGACACCACUCACGAGUCACACCUGCCCAACGGACAACUCACAGAAAGAUGCACCACGGGACAGUCUCGAUGGGUGGCGGACGGCAGCUAACCCACCAAAGAGCACCACCUCCCCCAGUUAACCUUCCAGUGGGGAGGGACCUGUGAGGAUCCCCUGCAGGCUUGUGAACACUGUCAGCAGUACACCCUGGGUCUCCCCACUCCCCGAACAAGGGGAUGGUGAGUGGGUCCGAUCUCAGAAAGACCUUGCAUCAGGACCACAACCGUGAUCAAGUCCAAUAAAACACUGUAGUUACACAACA